GAGAGAGAGAGAGAGAGAGGAAAACGAAGAACGAAGCUUGCGGGCGACGAUUGACGAACGAAGAGGAGAAGAAGACCAAAGACGAACGAAGAUCCACCGAGGACAAACGAAGCCCGACGAAGAACGAAGAGGAGAAGGAGAACGAAGAAGCUCGACUGGAGACCAACGGCCGUCCAUUGAGGACGAACAACGAAGAACGAAGAGGAGAAGGAGAAUGAAGAAGCUCGACUAGAGACCAACGGCCGUCUACUGAGGUCUCUCUGUCUCUAUCUCGAAAAAAAAUAUAU
Molecule: long non-coding RNA, 287 nt
Organism: Rhododendron vialii
Lineage: Eukaryota; Viridiplantae; Streptophyta; Magnoliopsida; Ericales; Ericaceae
Exons: 3
Source: RefSeq, a predicted model, not a curated record